This 614-nucleotide ribosomal RNA is filed under the name uncultured Russula. Its description in RNAcentral is "eukaryotic LSU rRNA". The stretch from base 186 to 339 matches the Rfam family "5.8S ribosomal RNA". Lineage: Eukaryota; Fungi; Basidiomycota; Agaricomycetes; Russulales; Russulaceae. The record is from RNAcentral.
ACAACGGGGGUGCGAGGGCUGUCGCUGACCUUUCAAAAGGUCGUGCACGCCCGAGCGCUCUCACACAUCCAUCUCACCCCUUUGUGCAUCACCGCGUGGGUCCCCCUUUGCAGGAGGGCUCACGUUUUCACACAAAACUUGAUACAGUGUAGAAUGUUAUUUUUGCGGUCACACGCAAUCAAUACAACUUUCAACAACGGAUCUCUUGGCUCUCGCAUCGAUGAAGAACGCAGCGAAAUGCGAUACGUAAUGUGAAUUGCAGAAUUCAGUGAAUCAUCGAAUCUUUGAACGCACCUUGCGCCCCUUGGCAUUCCGAGGGGCACACCCGUUUGAGUGACGUGAAAUCAUCAAAAACCCUUUUCUGUUUACCGAAAAGGAUUUUUGGACUUGGAGGUUUAAUGCUUGCCUUUCACUUUUGAAAGCGAGCUCCUCUCAAAUGAAUUAGUGGGGUCCGCUUCGCUGGUCCUUGACGUGAUAAGAUGUUUCUACGUUUUGNAUUUAGCACUGUCCCUUUGGAUUCCUGCUCCUAACUGUCCAACGGACAAACGAUGGUGCUCCGGUCGCCGCCGUCUACAUUGGCGGGGGAGGGCUGGACCCACGAAAGAAAACCUUGA